Molecule: ribosomal RNA, 108 nt
Filed under: Annulohypoxylon viridistratum
Lineage: Eukaryota; Fungi; Ascomycota; Sordariomycetes; Xylariales; Hypoxylaceae
Description: partial 28S ribosomal RNA
Source: RNAcentral
GGCGGAGUUACAGCACACCCUAAGCGUAGUAAAACUACCUCGCUUUCAGGGAGCCUGUAGCGGCCUGCCGUUAAAAAACCCCCUAUAAUUCUAGUGUUUGACCUCGGA